UACGAAGGGGGCUAGCGUUGCUCGGAAUCACUGGGCGUAAAGGGUGCGUAGGCGGGUUUUUAAGUCAGAGGUGAAAUCCUGGAGCUCAACUCCAGAACUGCCUUUGAUACUGAAAGUCUUGAGUAUGGGAGAGGUGAGUGGAACUGCGAGUGUAGAGGUGAAAUUCGUAGAUAUUCGUAAGAACACCAGUGGCGAAGGCGGCUCACUGGCCCAUAACUGACGCUGAGGCACGAAAGCGUGGGGAGCAAACAGG
Molecule: ribosomal RNA, 253 nt
Filed under: uncultured bacterium
Lineage: Bacteria
Description: partial 16S ribosomal RNA
Rfam family: Bacterial small subunit ribosomal RNA
Source: RNAcentral